Long non-coding RNA from Acanthochromis polyacanthus (spiny chromis), 158 nucleotides. RefSeq lists it as uncharacterized. The record is from RefSeq and is a predicted model, not a curated record. The transcript has 2 exons. NCBI's taxonomy places the organism in Eukaryota, Metazoa, Chordata, Actinopteri, Pomacentridae.
CUGCGACAUGUUUUGCUGUGAGCCAGGAGCAUGAGGCUCAGCUUUGAUAAGUCUUUUCCAGUUAAAAUAAAACUUUAAAUACCUUCCAGUGUUUCACGGUAGCUUUGAAGGCAUCGUCGUUUUACCCUCCUUCAUUGGACCAUAAAGAUUCGAACCAA